Molecule: small nucleolar RNA, 205 nt
Organism: Heterocephalus glaber (naked mole-rat)
Lineage: Eukaryota; Metazoa; Chordata; Mammalia; Rodentia; Bathyergidae
Gene: U3
Rfam family: Small nucleolar RNA U3
About the family: Small nucleolar RNAs (snoRNAs) are involved in the processing and modification of rRNA in the nucleolus. There are two main classes of snoRNAs: the box C/D class, and the box H/ACA class.
Source: Ensembl
AAGUCCAUGCUUUCAGGGAUCAUUUAUACAGUUUGUUACUAGAGAAGUUUGUCUGAACAUGAGCACGGGGAAGCACAGGGAAGAGGGGCAGCAUUUUCUCCUAAGCAUGAAGCCAGCUGUUGGCGUUGCUUUGCUGCAGUUGCCUUUUGCCCCUAGUGACCGUUCUUCCCCUUGGGCAGAGUAAUGUGUGGAGGGAUGUGGUGGA